Molecule: ribosomal RNA, 254 nt
Filed under: uncultured bacterium
Lineage: Bacteria
Description: partial 16S ribosomal RNA
Rfam family: Bacterial small subunit ribosomal RNA
Source: RNAcentral
GACGAACCGUGCGAACGUUAUUCGGAAUCACUGGGCUUAAAGCGCGUGUAGGCGGGCCGGCACGUCGGUGCCUGAAAGCCCCCGGCUCAACCGGGGAAGCGGGGCCGAUACGACCGGCCUGGAGGGACGUAGGGGGACCUGGAACUUCCGGUGGAGCGGUGAAAUGCGUUGAGAUCGGAAGGAACGCCCGUGGCGAAAGCGAGGUCCUGGACGUCUGCUGACGCUGAGACGCGAAAGCUAGGGGAGCGAACGGG